Molecule: non-coding RNA, 82 nt
Organism: Ixodes scapularis (black-legged tick)
Lineage: Eukaryota; Metazoa; Arthropoda; Arachnida; Ixodida; Ixodidae
Source: Rfam
GCAGUCGUGGCCGAGUGGUUAAGGCGAUGAACUAGAAAUCUAUUGGGGUCUCCCCGCACAGGUACGAAUCCUGUCAACUGUG